Molecule: ribosomal RNA, 254 nt
Filed under: uncultured bacterium
Lineage: Bacteria
Description: partial 16S ribosomal RNA
Rfam family: Bacterial small subunit ribosomal RNA
Source: RNAcentral
UACGUAGGGGGCGAGCGUUGUCCGGAUUUAUUGGGCGUAAAGAGCUCGUAGGCGGCUUGGCAAGUCGGGUGUGAAAACUUCAGGCUUAACCUGGAGAUUGCAUUCGAUACUGCUAUGGCUAGAGUCCGGUAGGGGACCACGGAAUUCCUGGUGUAGCGGUGAAAUGCGCAGAUAUCAGGAGGAACACCGGUGGCGAAGGCGGUGGUCUGGGCCGGCACUGACGCUGAGGAGCGAAAGCGUGGGGAGCAAACAGG